RNAcentral lists this long non-coding RNA (572 nucleotides) under Brachypodium distachyon (stiff brome). RNAcentral's name for it is "long non-coding RNA (BDIS_LNC004667)". Lineage: Eukaryota; Viridiplantae; Streptophyta; Magnoliopsida; Poales; Poaceae. The record is from RNAcentral.
CCCAACUUCCCCGCCUUAUUUCGCAUCGGUUAGAGAUUAAUUGCUCGCCGGAGUUCGACACUGCCGUGGCCGUUCUUCGCGUUUUCGCCGCCGUUCCGGUGAGAAUCUCCCCGUGCCGACCCCCUAGCCUCUCUCCUCUCCUCGUUCCGAACACCGUGACGCGCGUGCUUUAUUUUUUUGAAGCUCCGCCCGCGCUGUUCGCCGGCCGCCGCUGCUCGCGCGCGUCCGCCACCCCGCGCAUGCUGCCCGUCUUCUCCGGCUCCGGCAGCCGCCCGUCCGCUGCCCCGCACCAUGCCGCCUCCGUCUCCCGCGCCGGCAGCCCACGCCGCCGGCCACGAAGCCCUGGCUUCCGGCCAGUCCCGCCAUGCCACGUGGCGAGGUCUUUUCUUUUUGUUUUUAUUUUAUUUUCAGCCGAAAUAGAUAAUGCACUUUUGCAGGAAAGACCCUACAACUUCAAAGCAUCAUAUCUUUCAAACCGUUUGUCCAAAUUUUGUGUUCCGCACCUUUCUGGAAUCGUCACAACUUGUAGAAUAUGUUGGCACUGUCUAAUUUCAGGUUUGAACAACUUAGUC